This 257-nucleotide ribosomal RNA is filed under the name uncultured bacterium. Its description in RNAcentral is "partial 16S ribosomal RNA". It matches the Rfam family "Bacterial small subunit ribosomal RNA", at positions 521 to 776 of the family's 1533-position model. The record is from RNAcentral.
UAAUACGAAGGGAGCUAGCGUUGUUCGGAAUUACUGGGCGUAAAGGGUGUGUAGGUGGUUUCUUAAGUGAGAUGUGAAAGCCCCGGGCUUAACCUGGGAAUGGCAUUUCAUACUGAGAGACUAAGUGUGUAAGAGGGGAAAGCGGAAUGGCGAGUGGAGCAGUGAAAUGCGUUGAUAUUCGUUGGAACACCAGAGGCGAAGGCGGCUUUCUAGCUUAUCACAGACACUAAGGCACUAAAGCGUGGGGAGCAAACAGG